UCCCUCUCAGGAUCGCACCUGGAGAGUUUCCAGUACUCUAACAGUUUUGGCUACUGGAGGGAAGAGUCAAACAAAGGUAUACCCAUUCCAUUCUCAGCUUGGCCAGUGGCUAGUGAGUGGAAGACAACCUGCUACAAGU
Molecule: non-coding RNA, 139 nt
Organism: Ornithorhynchus anatinus (platypus)
Lineage: Eukaryota; Metazoa; Chordata; Mammalia; Monotremata; Ornithorhynchidae
Source: Rfam